GGCAGCAGUGGGGAAUAUUGCACAAUGGGGGAAACCCUGAUGCAGCAACGCCGCGUGAGUGAUGAAGGUUUUCGGAUCGUAAAGCUCUGUCUUUGGGGAAGAUAAUGACGGUACCCAAGGAGGAAGCCACGGCUAACUACGUGCCAGCAGCCGCGGUAAUACGUAGGUGGCGAGCGUUAUCCGGAUUUACUGGGCGUAAAGGGAGCGUAGGCGGAUGAUUAAGUGGGAUGUGAAAUACCCGGGCUCAACUUGGGUGCUGCAUUCCAAACUGGUUAUCUAGAGUGCAGGAGAGGAGAGUGGAAUUCCUAGUGUAGCGGUGAAAUGCGUAGAGAUUAGGAAGAACACCAGUGGCGAAGGCGACUCUCUGGACUGUAACUGACGCUGAGGCUCGAAAGCGUGGGGAGCAAACAGGAUUAAAUACCCUGGUAGUCCACGC
Molecule: ribosomal RNA, 436 nt
Filed under: Clostridium perfringens
Lineage: Bacteria; Bacillati; Bacillota; Clostridia; Eubacteriales; Clostridiaceae
Description: bacterial SSU rRNA
Rfam family: Bacterial small subunit ribosomal RNA
Source: RNAcentral